AUUGAACGCUGGCGGCAGGCCUAACACAUGCAAGUCGAGCGGCAGCGGGAAAGUAGCUUGCUACUUUUGCCGGCGAGCGGCGGACGGGUGAGUAAUGCCUGGGGAUCUGCCCAGUCGAGGGGGAUAACUACUGGAAACGGUAGCUAAUACCGCAUACGCCCUACGGGGGAAAGCAGGGGACCUUCGGGCCUUGCGCGACUGGAUGAACCCAGGUGGGAUUAGCUAGUUGGUGAGGUAACGGCUCACCAAG
This 250-nucleotide ribosomal RNA is filed under the name uncultured bacterium. Its description in RNAcentral is "partial 16S ribosomal RNA". It matches the Rfam family "Bacterial small subunit ribosomal RNA", at positions 30 to 272 of the family's 1533-position model. The record is from RNAcentral.